This 432-nucleotide ribosomal RNA is filed under the name uncultured bacterium. Its description in RNAcentral is "partial 16S ribosomal RNA". It matches the Rfam family "Bacterial small subunit ribosomal RNA", at positions 29 to 507 of the family's 1533-position model. The record is from RNAcentral.
ACGAACGCUGGCGGCAUGCCUAACACAUGCAAGUCGAACGAGACCUUCGGGUCUAGUGGCGCACGGGUGCGUAACGCGUGGGAACCUGCCCUUAGGUUCGGAAUAACUCCCCGAAAGGGGUGCUAAUACCGGAUAAUGUCUUCGGACCAAAGAUUUAUCGCCUUUGGAUGGGCCCGCGUUGGAUUAGCUAGUUGGUAGGGUAAAAGCCUACCAAGGCGACGAUCCAUAGCUGGUCUGAGAGGAUGAUCAGCCACACUGGGACUGAGACACGGCCCAGACUCCUACGGGAGGCAGCAGUGGGGAAUACUGGACAAUGGGCGAAAGCCUGAUCCAGCAAUGCCGCGUGAGUGAUGAAGGCCUUAGGGUUGUAAAGCUCUUUUACCCGGGAUGAUAAUGACAGUACCGGGAGAAUAAGCUCCGGCUAACUCCGUG